Molecule: ribosomal RNA, 462 nt
Filed under: uncultured bacterium
Lineage: Bacteria
Description: partial 16S ribosomal RNA
Rfam family: Bacterial small subunit ribosomal RNA
Source: RNAcentral
GACGAACGCUGGCGGCGUGCUUAACACAUGCGAGUCGAACGGAAAGGCCUUUUCGGAGGUACUCGAGUGGCGAACGGGUGAGUAACACGUGGGUGAUCUGCCCUGCACUCUGGGAUAAGCCUGGGAAACUGGGUCUAAUACCGGAUAGGACCGCACUUUAGUGUGUGUGGUGGAAAGUUUUUUCGGUGUAGGAUGAGCCCGCGGCCUAUCAGCUUGUUGGUGGGGUAAUGGCCUACCAAGGCGGCGACGGGUAGCCGGACUGAGAGGUUGGUCGGCCACAUUGGGACUGAGAUACGGCCCAGACUCCUACGGGAGGCAGCAGUGGGGAAUAUUGCACAAUGGGCGCAAGCCUGAUGCAGCGACGCCGCGUGGGGGAUGACGGCCUUCGGGUUGUAAACUCCUUUCGCCAGGGACGAAGCGUUUUGUGACGGUACCUGGAGAAGAAGCACCGGCUAACUACGU